CAGCCGCCGCGGGAAUACAGAGGGUGCGAGCGUUAAUCGGAUUUACUGGGCGUAAAGCGUGCGUAGGCGGCUUCUUAAGUCGGAUGUGAAAUCCCUGAGCUUAACUUAGGAAUUGCAUUCGAUACUGGGAAGCUAGAGUAUGGGAGAGGAUGGUAGAAUUCCAGGUGUAGCGGUGAAAUGCGUAGAGAUCUGGAGGAAUACCGAUGGCGAAGGCAGCCAUCUGGCCUAAUACUGACGCUGAGGUACGAAAGCAUGGGGAGCAAACAGGAUUAGAUACCCCUGUAGUCACUGUCUCUUAUAC
Molecule: ribosomal RNA, 301 nt
Filed under: uncultured bacterium
Lineage: Bacteria
Description: partial 16S ribosomal RNA
Rfam family: Bacterial small subunit ribosomal RNA
Source: RNAcentral